GGAAUAUAGCUUAGUUGGUAGAGUGCUUGCCUUGCAUGCCCAAGAACCUGGGUUCAAUACUCAGCACCA
Molecule: transfer RNA, 69 nt
Filed under: Marmota monax (woodchuck)
Lineage: Eukaryota; Metazoa; Chordata; Mammalia; Rodentia; Sciuridae
Description: tRNA.Ala
Source: RNAcentral